This 492-nucleotide ribosomal RNA is filed under the name uncultured bacterium. Its description in RNAcentral is "partial 16S ribosomal RNA". It matches the Rfam family "Bacterial small subunit ribosomal RNA", at positions 28 to 507 of the family's 1533-position model. The record is from RNAcentral.
GAUGAACGCUAGCUACAGGCUUAACACAUGCAAGUCGAGGGGAAACGACAUCGAAAGCUUGCUUUUGAUGGGCGUCGACCGGCGCACGGGUGAGUAACGCGUAUCCAACCUGCCCAUCACUUGGGAAUAACCUUGCGAAAGUAAGACUAAUACCCAAUGAUAUCCCACGAAGGCAUCGGAAUGGGAUUAAAGAUUUAUCGGUGAUGGAUGGGGAUGCGUCUGAUUAGCUUGUUGGCGGGGUAACGGCCCACCAAGGCAACGAUCAGUAGGGGUUCUGAGAGGAAGGUCCCCCACAUUGGAACUGAGACACGGUCCAAACUCCUACGGGAGGCAGCAGUGAGGAAUAUUGGUCAAUGGGCGAGAGCCUGAACCAGCCAAGUAGUGUGCAGGAAGACGGCCCUAUGGGUUGUAAACUGCUUUUAUAAGGGAAUAAAGUGGGUCACGUGUGACUUUUUGCAUGUACCUUAUGAAUAAGGACCGGCUAAUUCCGUG